UACGUAGGGCGCAAGCGUUAUCCGGAAUUAUUGGGCGUAAAGAGCUCGUAGGCGGUUUGUCGCGUCUGCCGUGAAAGUCCGGGGCUCAACUCCGGAUCUGCGGUGGGUACGGGCAGGCUAGAGUGAUGUAGGGGAGACUGGAAUUCCUGGUGUAGCGGUGAAAUGCGCAGAUAUCAGGAGGAACACCGAUGGCGAAGGCAGGUCUCUGGGCCGCUACUGACGCUGAGAAGCGAAAGCAUGGGGAGCGAACAGG
RNAcentral lists this ribosomal RNA (253 nucleotides) under uncultured bacterium. RNAcentral describes it as "partial 16S ribosomal RNA". It matches the Rfam family "Bacterial small subunit ribosomal RNA", at positions 524 to 776 of the family's 1533-position model. The record is from RNAcentral.